UACGUAGGGUGCAAGCGUUAUCCGGAAUUAUUGGGCGUAAAGAGCUCGUAGGCGGUCUGUCGCGUCUGGUGUGAAAAUCCAGGGCUUAACCCUGGACCUGCAUCGGGUACGGGCAGACUAGAGUGCGGUAGGGGAGAUCGGAAUUCCUGGUGUAGCGGUGAAAUGCGUAGAUAUCUGGAGGAACACCGGUGGCGAAGGCGGCAUCCUGGACCGACACUGACGCUGAGGAGCGAAAGCCAGGGGAGCAAACGGG
Molecule: ribosomal RNA, 253 nt
Filed under: uncultured bacterium
Lineage: Bacteria
Description: partial 16S ribosomal RNA
Rfam family: Bacterial small subunit ribosomal RNA
Source: RNAcentral